GGAGGGAUGGCCGAGCGGACGAAGGCAACGGUCUUGAAAACCGUAGCGCGAAGAGCGCCGGGGGUUCAAAUCCCUCUCCCUCCG
This 84-nucleotide transfer RNA is filed under the name Candidatus Acetithermum autotrophicum. RNAcentral describes it as "Candidatus Acetothermum autotrophicum tRNA-Ser". It matches the Rfam family "tRNA". Rfam says of the family: Transfer RNA (tRNA) molecules are approximately 80 nucleotides in length. Their secondary structure includes four short double-helical elements and three loops (D, anti-codon, and T loops). Further hydrogen bonds mediate the characteristic L-shaped molecular structure. tRNAs have two regions of fundamental functional importance: the anti-codon, which is responsible for specific mRNA codon recognition, and the 3' end, to which the tRNAs corresponding amino acid is attached (by aminoacyl-tRNA synthetases). tRNAs cope with the degeneracy of the genetic code in two manners: having more than one tRNA (with a specific anti-codon) for a particular amino acid; and 'wobble' base-pairing, i.e. permitting non-standard base-pairing at the 3rd anti-codon position. The record is from RNAcentral. Lineage: Bacteria; Candidatus Bipolaricaulota.